This 232-nucleotide long non-coding RNA is filed under the name Setaria viridis. Its description in RNAcentral is "long non-coding RNA (SVIR_LNC003768)". Lineage: Eukaryota; Viridiplantae; Streptophyta; Magnoliopsida; Poales; Poaceae. The record is from RNAcentral.
CUGAUCGGGCCUGGUCUGCCCACGGUUUAACAUACAUCACCGGUUCCAACGUCACUGCCGUAUAGCUAUUGUGCAACUAUUCUAAAACAGGCAGUCACCUACGAUAGCGAGCCAGAUGACUACUUAGCCCUCCAUCCUUAGCAGGUAAUUAAAGCUGCAAUCAAUCACUGCUAAAAUCUGGAAGUGAUGGAGUAGCACCCCACUUAAUUACCCUCCCGCCCCUGGCUACCCC